ACAUAUGCAUAAAAAAUGAUUGGAAAAAUUGUGCUCGAAAAAAAUAUACUACUCUACCUAAUAAAAAUUCUUGAAUUGUAUGCUGCCAUGAACGGAAAUGCGAUUUGUUUGGAUGAUAAGAAUAAUACAAAGUGUUGCACAAACUACAUUUAUAAUGCUGAGGAGGACCGAUGUAUAGAGUGUGUCGGAAGAUUUGGAGAGCAUUGUUCAGAUCCCUGUCCUGAAAGGUUCUAUGGAGCUUCCUGUAGAAGGCAGUGUAACUGUUCAAGUGAGACUUGUCAUAAAA
This is a long non-coding RNA of Saccostrea cuccullata (small rock oyster), 286 nucleotides long. RefSeq lists it as uncharacterized. The record is from RefSeq and is a predicted model, not a curated record. The transcript is spliced from 3 exons. Lineage: Eukaryota; Metazoa; Mollusca; Bivalvia; Ostreida; Ostreidae.